CCUACGGGUGGCAGCAGUGAGGAAUAUUGGUCAAUGGUCGGGAGACUGAACCAGCCAAGCCGCGUGAGGGAGGAAGGUACAGAGUAUCGUAAACCUCUUUUGUCAGGGAACAAAGGCGGGGACGUGUCCCCGGAUGAGUGUACCUGAAGAAAAAGCAUCGGCUAACUCCGUGCCAGCAGCCGCGGUAAUACGGAGGAUGCGAGCGUUAUCCGGAUUUAUGGGGUUUAAAGGGUGCGCAGGCGGUCUGUUAAGUCAGCGGUCAAAGCCCGGGGCUCAACCCCGGCCCGCCGUUGAAACUGGCAGUCUCGAGUUGGAGAGAAGUAUGCGGAAGGCGCGGUGGAGCGGUGAAAUGCAUAGAUAUCGCGCAGAACUCCGAUUGCGAAGGCAGCAUGCCGGCUCCACACUGACGCUGAGGCACGAAAGCGUGGGUAUCGAACAGGAUUAGAUACCCGGGUAGUC
This 459-nucleotide ribosomal RNA is filed under the name uncultured bacterium. RNAcentral's name for it is "partial 16S ribosomal RNA". It matches the Rfam family "Bacterial small subunit ribosomal RNA", at positions 338 to 795 of the family's 1533-position model. The record is from RNAcentral.